Scylla paramamosain (green mud crab) is the source of this 419-nucleotide long non-coding RNA. RefSeq lists it as uncharacterized. NCBI's taxonomy places the organism in Eukaryota, Metazoa, Arthropoda, Malacostraca, Decapoda, Portunidae. The transcript has 2 exons. The record is from RefSeq and is a predicted model, not a curated record.
GUGGGGUUUGAUGGGAAGUAUUUGUUUUGGAACGGGAGGGAUUUUGGCGCGGAACACGGACACUGAGGCAUUGGUUUAUAGGUCUGGAUUGUGUGGCUUUGUCAGCAUAGCAGGAGUUUCACGGUGAUGCUUAAGGACCGUAGCCGCAGCCGUCUUCACCAGUCUGUGCCUGUCUACUAGUGGAGUGGUGUAGUGUGUGGCCACCCUGAGCCCUAUCAGUUAGCGGUGACAAGAGGGAGACACCUGUCAUCACUGUCAGCAGGGGACCAGAAGCGUUUGUGUAAACGAGGAUUACCCGUCGUGCCCCUCAGCUGGAAAUUUUGAGGUGUACAAGUUUCAUUUAGUUAUUUCUUUUUGUUGCGAGUUUUACACGAGUUGUGUAUUGAUUUAUUUUGAUAUCCAUUAAAGUAUUAUUUGUA